Molecule: long non-coding RNA, 2382 nt
Organism: Saccostrea cuccullata (small rock oyster)
Lineage: Eukaryota; Metazoa; Mollusca; Bivalvia; Ostreida; Ostreidae
Exons: 3
Source: RefSeq, a predicted model, not a curated record
UAGAGGAUUUUUUCGCGCUUGUUUGUAAACAACGCGCGGCAUUGUGGGAAAUAGGAAGGUACUAAAGACGCGAUGUACUAAACACUUAUUUGACCUGAUUCAAAUUUGUCUGUAAAUGUUCCAAACAAUUGAAUUUUUGUAUAGCAUAUGCCUCGAAGUCAUAAAGUCUGUACAUAAGUAAUUUAAAAUACUCAAUAUUACCAUUUAAUUAAAAAUUAAAACGUCAGGUAAAUAUCAGGUCUCUAGUAUAUCCCGUUUUUAGUGUGCCCCUUCGAGUCGACGUCGGACACAUGUUUGUCAUGGUUUACAAACUGAAAAUAGAAUGAUUUGUGAAGUUGAACAUUUUCUCACAAAGAAUCCGCUUGUAGACAUGCACACUCAUUUAAUCUGGAGCUACGAAGUACUUUGUCACUUCUCUGGAACAUUAUUCUAAGCAGAAUUAUCCCGAUUCAUAUAUUCUAAGAAUCUUGUGUGAAUUGUUUACGAGGAAAUUCUGACUGUCACAUUAACAAGGAUGAACACUCUUGACUCUGCUUCGGAUUCCCCAGUGAUAAUUGUAUCGAGUGAUGAAAGAGCUGACGGCGACAUUUUAAUGUAUGAUUGGCUUGGACCAUUGGAAUGAAGUCAUUUCAUGGUGCCACCACUUGGGAUGGUAUUAGCUGCAAAUAUAGACUUGUACUCAGCACUUAUUGCCUUUAAGAAGUAUGAGAUCCAUUUUGUGCUAACACCUACCGUGACACAGAAUCUUGGUUUAUGAAGUCUCAUAGGAGUAACCUGUCUAAAGCAUUUAGCAAUGGGAUUGGAACCUGCAACGUAAGGUGUGACUCAUCUGAAGACUGAAUUUUGAUACCAAGCAUGACCAUGAUUUGCCAGAAGAUCAUCUGUUUGGAUGUGACAUGGAAUAAACAGCAUAGUGAAAAUAAGUCAAGUUUUGGUUUGUGAAGACAAUUUUUAAACACACUGUGUAUCAUUUUUAAAUUUUGAUUUGACAACAUAAAUCCACAAAUAUGAACAUAUCAAUUGCUCUCAGUUUUUCAAGUGAAAUAGUUUUUGUAACAGAAAUACAUGUACCAGUAAUUACAUUGGAAUAAAUGUUAUUUUUAAAUAUAAUAAUAUUUUGUUUGUGUAGCAUGUUGACCUCUUUAUUAAGGACUUCCCUUUCAAAGUUUAGACUUACUUAUUCUAAUGAUUAAGAUAGAUCCUCUGUCUUCAGCAGGAUUAGAAGAUCUUGUAAUACAUGUAUGUGUAUUUUUUACAGUAUAAUGUAAAAAAAAUUGUUAUUUUGGCACAUACAACUAAUUAAAGGCAUAAACAUGUGUAUGAUUCCAAGGAAUUCAGUACAUAGGGCAUGUACAUGUAGUUUUCUAAAACAAGAUUGAAGAGAUGUCCAGUCGCAUUUCAAUGUCAACUGCAAAACUGUGCCUGUUGCAUAUUUAUUAGCCCAUCUGAGCUAAAGGAACCAGUAAAUUUUUUAAAAACAUAAUUUUAUCCAUUAUCAUCAUUGUCUAAAAUUUCACAAUAUCAUUUUCCAGAACCAAAGUGAAACUUGGCACAGAGCAUCCUUAGUGUAGGGGAUUCAAAUUGUUCUUAUGCAGGGCAAUACCUUCAAAGAGAUUUGUUUCUUUAAUGCUGUAAAUGUAUAAUAUUUAGCUUGUACAAUAUUUGGUGGAAAUUGACUUUUGAAUAAGUUAGCGUAGAUAUUCUUAUUUAUGUUUAUGUACAAGACUUUUAGCUUUGUACUUGAUUUAGUGAUUGCUGCAUUCCGCCAAAGCUGCUAAAAAAGAAUACACAGCCAUAUGUAAUAUGUUUACAAUAUACCUUUCAGAGAAUUUUACACUCCUAUUGAGGUACCACCAGUUGCUAGUGGAAAGCUGCAAAUUCGAAACAUACACAACACAUUUCUGUGCGUUUAUUAUAAAAGUAUUGUUCUACUUACUGAUUGCAACUAAUGAAGAUUGUUCAUCAUUAUUGUAAAUACAUUUGGAUUUUUUGAAUUAUUAUAUAAUUUGUUUAUUUUAUUUACCUAGUUAUAUUGUAUAUUAAAUGAUUUUAAAGCCAUUUUUAAGAUGGUAAUGUAGCAAAACACUUAUGUUUCUGUAGUAUGACACGUUUCACAAACAUGAUAUAUCCGAUAUCAAAAGUCAUAAUAUUGGAAGUUAAACUGUUGUGGAUACGAUUUCAAGAAUGCUGUUAGAGAGAGUACCCUUUAGACCUCAUGCUCACACCAAAUUAAAGAAUUCAAGUAAGGGUUUCUGAGACAAAUCGAAAAAGAGAAUGUUAGCAAAGUUGACAAUCUAGACAGAAACAUUUAAUCUUUUGCUUAUCGCUAGGAAGGAAGACCCACUCGUUGCUUUGCAACGAGCUUUGCUCUAGUUGUAUUUC